GAGACUCUGUGCGCGUGCAUAUCAAUAAGCGGAGGAAAAGAAACUAACAUAGGAUUCCCUUAGUAACGGCGAGUGAAGCGGGAAGAGCUCAAAUUUGAAAUCUUCAAGGUUCUACCUUGACGAAUUGUAGUUUAUAGAAGUGUUUUCUGUUAGUAGAGUGGCAAAAGUUCUUUGGAAUAGGACAUCAUAGAGGGUGAGAAUCCCGUAUUUGGUCAUUCUUUCUAGCUUUGUGAUGACACUUUCAACGAGUCGGAUUGUUUGGGAAUGCAGUCCAAAAUGGGUGGUAAAUUUCAUCUAAAGCUAAAUAUUGGCGAGAGCCGAUAGCGAACAAGUACCGUGAGGGAAAGAUGAAAAGAACUUUGAAAAGAGAGUUAAACAGUACGUGAAAUUGUCAAAAGGGAAGCGUUUGACACCAGUGUUGUUUUUCCGAAAAUCAAUUACGAAUGUUUUAGUUUUUAAGAAGUUAUGACUUCAUCGGCUUGCUUCUCUCUUUAUGAAACUUUCUUAAUGCACUUUUCGGUUAACAAGUCAACAUCAAUUUCUUUUGUUGCUAAAAGGGUAUGAGGAAGGUGGCUUUCUUUUCGGAGAAAGUGUUUAUAGCCUUGUACCUCUGCAAUCGGAGAGAUUGAGGUCUGCAGCGUGGAUCCUUCGGGGUUAGAUACGUUUGUGCUAAGUUAUAGCUUUUCAUAGACAACUUGUUGACUAUGUUAAGUCUUGUAGCUUACUCGCUUAUGCUAUUUUACCUACGCUUAGGAUGUUGACGAUCAGCUGAGCGC
RNAcentral lists this ribosomal RNA (776 nucleotides) under uncultured Neocallimastigales. RNAcentral describes it as "partial large subunit ribosomal RNA". It matches the Rfam family "Eukaryotic large subunit ribosomal RNA", at positions 23 to 647 of the family's 3401-position model. Lineage: Eukaryota; Fungi; Neocallimastigomycota; Neocallimastigomycetes; Neocallimastigales. The record is from RNAcentral.